GAUCAUGGCUCAGGAUGAACGCUAGCUACAGGCUUAACACAUGCAAGUCGAGGGGAAACGAUAGAGAAAGCUUGCUUUUUCUAGGCGUCGACCGGCGCACGGGUGAGUAACGCGUAUCCAACCUGCCCACCACUUGGGGAUAACCUUGCGAAAGUAAGACUAAUACCCAAUGACGUCUCUAGAAGACAUCUGAAAGGGAUUAAAGAUUUAUCGGUGAUGGAUGGGGAUGCGUCUGAUUAGCUUGUUGGCGGGGUGACGGCCCACCAAGGCAACGAUCAGUAGGGGUUCUGAGAGGAAGGUCCCCCACAUUGGAACUGAGACACGGUCCAAACUCCUACGGGAGGCAGCAGUGAGGAAUAUUGGUCAAUGGGCGAGAGCCUGAACCAGCCAAGUAGCGUGCAGGAUGACGGCCCUAUGGGUUGUAAACUGCUUUUAUAAGGGAAUAAAGUGAGCCUCGUGAGACUUUUUGCAUGUACCUUAUGAAUAAGGACCGGCUAAUUCCGUG
Molecule: ribosomal RNA, 505 nt
Filed under: uncultured bacterium
Lineage: Bacteria
Description: bacterial SSU rRNA
Rfam family: Bacterial small subunit ribosomal RNA
Source: RNAcentral